Molecule: non-coding RNA, 2049 nt
Organism: Dermacentor andersoni
Lineage: Eukaryota; Metazoa; Arthropoda; Arachnida; Ixodida; Ixodidae
Source: RefSeq, a predicted model, not a curated record
UCACAAAUUGCCCUGAAAGUUGUGUUUGCAUGGUCAGCUGUGUUGUUGAGAGUAAGAUAAGUUACCAUGCAGCAUCAUUUGAUUUUAUUUGUUUGAAGGGCUGUUAGUGGCUUGCUGUUUACCUUUCUGGUAUACUUGGCAAGCAUGACAUUCAUAAUAUUCACUUCUGCUGCAUUUUUUACUAGCUGCUUCUGCGAGCAGGAACUGCAAGGGUAUCUGGUUUCGCUGUUCUUCGGUGCCUUAUUUCAUAUUUUACUUUUCUAGCUUGUGCAGCAACCUCGAAUUUGGCUCCUUUGAUGGAAUGAUCGUAGCUGAAGGCGCAGCAGCAGCCAGUCACGGUAUUGAAGAUGUACCAGCAACAGGAGAUGCAGACGACUUCUAAGAGAAGGUGGUGCCAGAAAGCUUAGAAAGUGGACCGCAUACAGACACACAACCUGCAAGCAAGACAACGGAAUGAUAAAUGUAAUUAUGGUAUAAAGUUCCCUAAAAAAACAGCAAGUGUUUUUCUUCAGGCAGCCUGACGACGUAGAAAGUGAUAUUGAGCCAGAAGUGGUGCUUGACACAACUGAAACGUAUGUAGGACUAGGUGCCCCUACCCAUUUAUGUAUACAAUACCAAAACUAGCUCACCAACUUCAUCCCUUAUAGGGUACCAAGACCAAGAAAAGUGGCAAUGACAUCCAAACAUCCCCAGCGGUAAUGUAGAAAUUGGUAUCGUGAUAGUCAACAGUAGUGGAGACAUCCUUUUCUUUGCAGCCCCGAUGUCAGUGGUCCCUCCAAUGCGGCAGUUGCUGCCGCAUGCCUUGACCACCUGAAGGCAGUUGGAAAAGAGCGCCGACAAAAAGAGGAGACCCAGGACACUGUCUACCAUUUCUGCAUGGCAGCUGCUGGAUUUUUACGGUCACUGCCAUCCGAUGACCAAUUUGGCUGUAUGUGUGCAAUCCAAGCCACAAUUCAAGAAAAAGUAAUGGAAGUGAGGGCUCGGAGGAGCGAAAAAUAGUCCUGAAAACAUAGCUGCAUGGUACAAUGUACAUACACUCUUUUUUUCUCUGAUAUUUAUCUGUGGUAUUUAAGUGCCAUUGCGUGUUUGUCAUCUUACACAGUUGACUCCCAUGUCGCUACUCACGCCAGCGCUCCCAUACUGCCCCUUCCUCUGCGAAGGCGCUGAGUGGUCUGUGACUGUACAUACAAACAUGUCUUCCUCAAAUUCUUUGCCUCAACAUAUUGUGAAAUGAAAAUACAUAGAGCUGUGCUCAAAUUUUGCAUUAGGGAUUAUCGUAAUUUUCAGACUAUUUCCCGCUAUUACUAUGUCAGGUAUGUAAGUUGUAGGCAUUUUCUUGUUUUGAAAUUCCACACUCAUACUCAACAAUCAUUACCUAGCAGCCCUGUGGCUAGUUUUAGUCGCAUUCCAUUUUUUUUUCUGAUACCAUGUAUCCCAGAGCCUAUAGUGCCUCGAACAAGUCCUCUAUGGCAGAAAGUUAGUAUCUGUCUUUUUCCCCUAGUACUAUGUGUGAUACUUAAGCUCUUGUGCAAAUAACGAUAAGGGCUUAGCGUGUUCAACUCAUCCUACACUGCACAGAACUAUACAGUACAACGUUUUUACCUGUGAUACGUAUUUAUUGAAAAUACGAGUGAUAUUUAAGGCCUUGUCCAGGACAGUAAAAAUAAGGGUUUGUUGUUCUUUGAUCUCGAUCCGUGGUAUACAGAACUGCACAGUACAAUCUGCCAAGUUUAAGAUUUGUGUACCAAGUCUGUACAUGUGAUAGUUAAGCUCGUCUAAAGUUGUGAAGUAAGUGUUUGGAAAGCGCAGAACUGCGCGGUACAUUUAGUACCCAUUUUUUAUCCUUUUGAUAUAAAUUGUACCCUCAGGAUCGUGGAAAAAAGGGCUAGUCAUGCUGUGCACAGAGCUGCACAGCCUAGUGUUUCUAUCCAGGUUUUCGUUGAAAGCGUUUUUUUUCUAAGCUGCGCUAUGUUUUUAAUCGCAGUACUAUUUGCAAUACGGUCACAUGUAUACAAGAAAUGUUUAUUGCAAAUAAAGACCUACUUUCUA